Molecule: RNA transcript, 1158 nt
Organism: Setaria italica (foxtail millet)
Lineage: Eukaryota; Viridiplantae; Streptophyta; Magnoliopsida; Poales; Poaceae
Gene name: probable plastid-lipid-associated protein 11
Exons: 5
Source: RefSeq, a predicted model, not a curated record
UCCACCACCCGAACCAAAUCUUCCUUCGCUGAUGGCGCCACUCCUCUCUCAUGCGAUCCCCAAAACCUUCGCACCGCCGAUUCCCCGCGCUCGCCACCGCCUCGCGCCCAGACCGCCCUCUGCCGCGUCCUUCCUCCGCGGACUUUUCUCCGCCCGCCCGCCGCCUGCGAAGGCCGACCUCCUCCGCCUCAUUGCGGACCAGGACCGCGGCCUCGAGACCCAGUCCGACCCCUCCCGCCUCGCCGACAUCGUCGCCUGCAUCGACGCGCUCGCCGCUGUGUCCCCCGGCGCGGACACCGUCUCCGACGCCGAAAAGCUCUCCGGAACCUGGCGCCUCCUCUGGACCACCGAGCAGGAGCAGCUAUUCAUCGUGCGGAACGCCCCCUUCUUCCGCACUGCCGCCGGCGACGUGCUCCAAGUCAUCGAUGUCCCCGGCGGCGCGCUCAACAACGUCAUCACCUUUCCGCCCUCGGGGGCGUUUGUCGUCAAUGGCGACAUCGAGGUCCAGCCGCCCCAGCGAGUCAAUUUUAGGUUCACACGCGCUGUGCUGAGAGGAAGCAGCUGGGAGGUACCUUUUCCACCGUUUGGGAAAGGAUGGUUUGACACUGUCUAUUUGGAUGAUGACAUACGGGUUGCCAAGGACAUAAGAGGGGACUAUUUAGUCGUUGAGCGCGCUCCAUAUUCUUGGAAUGGAUAGUUGGUUCAGAGCUGACCAAAAGGACAUUUGGAGAACCUUAUGUUUUCCCAGCAUAGACUCCACGUUUUACUGUGCCAUUUCCUUUCCUGUACACUGUUUUGUUGUACGGAUACUAUGUGGUUCCAAGUCGCAGUCGCACAGCAUUGGAAGGGUUUCGGAGGACAGGUUGGACCAUGACUCCCCGGACCAGGAUAUAUAGUGUUGCAGCAUAUUCUGUACUGUUAGUGUUCGGUAUUGUGCAGAAGGGUAACAUGCUUAUUCGCUGGCUCAUCAGUUGCUUGAUGUCCAUCACGGCAUUUGUUUUGAGCUGGCCUAUCAAGCAUGGCAGUCUGGAGUCAUUUUGAAGAUCAUAAGACAAUGGCUUCUGUUCUGAAAUUGGACCUCUCCAUAGCCCUGCCAAAGUGCUAGUGUUGGAUGAUCAACAACUCUGGUGUUCCAUGGAUAUUGAUACACCUUUUAUA